Molecule: long non-coding RNA, 2767 nt
Filed under: Vitis vinifera (wine grape)
Lineage: Eukaryota; Viridiplantae; Streptophyta; Magnoliopsida; Vitales; Vitaceae
Description: long non-coding RNA (VVIN_LNC006376)
Source: RNAcentral
CCUGCAAAAACCUUGAAAAGAUGAUUAUUGCAUGAAAACCAAUAGGCUUUCUAGGAUGGCCCAGCAACUUGACUGGCAUUUGCAUAAGGUCACAACAAAAGUUCCGUGACUAGCAAUCAUAUUUAAAAAUUAAGUACAUACAAGAUAACAAUGAUGUUUCUUCAGCCCUACGUACCCAAAGUUUAUGAUGAGUUUCCCCUCAUCUAACUAGAAACUCUCCUCCAGCUUUUCUCAUGAUCAUAUUAAAUGGGUCUCUGCAACCAAGAAUUGUGUCACCUCUUGCUUUUUUUUCUUCAAAUUGAUCAUAAUCUCCUUGCUCAUCAAUUUCACAUGCAGAGAAAUCCAUAUAUUUACAAUCUGCACUCAACUCCCCAUCAAUUUCAAAUUGACUAUUUAAAGAGCACUUCCUUGGCUUAUACUUAGUAGGUUGAUUGUUUCUAAUAAUACCAUAAUGUUUUGUGCACAAAGCUCCUCAUCUCAGCUAAACUUAUGAACACAUGUUUCUAAAUUUACCAACACCUUUCUCCACUAUCCCUACCUAGUUGAUUGUCAUGUUCUAGAACCUUUUCUUUACUACAAUAAUUGUUCCUUGAAAUAUAAAAAUCACCCAACUCUAAUUUCACAGACAACAUUAGUUCUAAUUUCACAGACAACAUUAGUACCAGCCGCUUCCUACCCAGUGAUUAACAAGCUGAGACCAUAAAAUGUCACUCUGAACCAUAUACCACCUUAAUUUUGGUUAUGGCUUAGUCGCCCUCAGUAUACAAUUUAACAGUUGUGAAUAAAAUUUUCAAAAGGACAGUCUAGGGCACAGAAGGGGAAAAGCAGCUGAUGUGGUCCAUACUAAAUAAACAUCUGCAGAUUGAAUCAUCCAUGGGGAAUUAGCUAGUUCAUGUGUGGAAUCCAAAUUAAUGACACAGAAAAAACACUUAUUUCCCUGUUUCACACAAUGCGACAAAUUAGAACUUCACCUGUAAGGAUGUAGAAACCUCUUUGUUAAAGGGUCAAGAUGUAGCUACCUCCCCAACCAGUGACAAGCUCAUUUUUCCAGGCAGUAUCAUGAGAUGUAAUCUGUGGUUAGCCAUUGUCCUAGCAUUGUAGCUAGUAAUGGCAAACCAUAUUAUUCUCGGAUCAAGUGCAAGCCAUGUAAUGUUGACUAUAAUAAUAUCAUUCUCCAGUGGUUUUGGGACGGAUAGGAAGUCCAGAGGCACAAAAUUUCUAUAUAACUACAUACUCCCUAAGCCCCCUAAUAAAGAAAAUGCCUCAACCCCUACUGCAAAUAACAUACCUCUCAUCCUCAAGGGUCACACGUUUCACCUUGCUGUGUGAAACAUGGUAUAGUUACCCAACUAGUUUGACAAAAAACCAAACCAACUUAAGCGGUAUUACACUUUAGAUUAAUGACAUGAUAAUGGUUAUUUUGUUUCUAGGAAAGGAAAAAAGGAAAGGGCCACAAAUGGAUUUUCUAUUUAGAGGGCAGUUUGGCAGAUAUUAUGAAGUUGUGUCCUAAAAUACAUGGAUAAGAAUCAGGGAAUUGCAAUAACUAGCAAAAGAGGAAUUGUGUAGGAUUCAGACCCAUGAAAGCACAACAAAAAGCACACCGGAACUCUUCUACCGAAAUCAGAAAAUCACUAAAAUGGCUUUCACAUCAACCGAUAUUCUAACUGGAAACUUUAAAUAAAGGGGUGAUUAAUCAAUUAAUUAAUAAAUGCUCUUGAUAAAUGCAACUGCUUUCCACAAAAGAAGAAACUAUCACGAGAGGAAUGCAGUGAAGAAAGAGGGAUCCAAAAUAGAAAACAAGACUGAGCCAUAACUGAAAAGGGUUGGUUGCAACAAACAAAGUAAGACUUCAUAAAAAGGAUGAUACCGGGACUCAAAUAUCGGAGAGAGAAAAAGUAUUGAACUGCCAAAACCACCCUCUGAUAUUCCAGGAUUUCCGUAUCAUGAAUUGGUGAUUCAGAGGGACAUUUGGUUGAAAACAGAGGGGCAUUUUCGUCUUCUCCGGAUCCCUUUCUCACUCUCUCUCUCUGCCAUUCCAGACUCUCUGGGACUCGCAGUCAUCGAGAGAGAAAACAGAGAAUCUUUGGCUUCACGCCAGACCAAAAGAUGAGAAAACAAAAACAGAACCCCCAAGAGUCCCCACCAGAUCUAAACGUACGCCGGUGAGAUAGAACUAAACUCUAAAAGAAAAAAAAUAAAAAUCUAUCAGAUCAGCAAUCAGCAAGAACAGAAAAACAUAAACACAAGAAAACACUGCCGAAGAGAAAAAGUGGGACACUAAAGUGAGCCACCGUACCCGUGCAACCUAGCGCCAGCGAGGAGCACGAUGCACCGGAUCUAGCCCAUCCCUAACCCCGCCCAAUCGCCACCGGCCACGGGAGCCGUAAGCCCUAGAUAACGUGCGCCGGGAACAGGCGGGGAGCGAGUUUCUCCUCCGUGAUCAGAAUUAUCCGCGCGAUGCUAAAGUGCACUUUCAACAGCGCAAGUUAGUGCGGACGAGGCUAGACUCCUCCCGAGAUCAGAAUUCUCGGCGCUGAUACUAACGUGUGCCGAGGACGGCUUCAAUUAAAGGGAACAACGACGCCGCCGGCGGCCGGUCCCCGUCCCCUCAAUCGAAAUUCCCUGUGCGGAUGCUAGCGUGCGCACCUAAGCGCCGGGGAUCCGCCUCGGUCGAACUAGAAUCUAAAAUGCGCACGUAGGGGACACAAUAGCAGUACCACACACCGCAAGCAGAGACGAGAAAGAAAAAGAGGUUAUACGGAGUAUU